RNAcentral lists this long non-coding RNA (4032 nucleotides) under Sus scrofa (pig). RNAcentral's name for it is "lncRNA (ENSSSCG00000046051.2)". Lineage: Eukaryota; Metazoa; Chordata; Mammalia; Artiodactyla; Suidae. The record is from RNAcentral.
AUUUUCUAGGGUUGUACCGUGGCACAUGGAGGUUCCCAGGCUAGGGGUCCAAUAGGAGCUGUAGCCACCAGUCUACACCAUAGCCACAGCAAUGCAGGAUCCAAGGUGUGUCUCUGAUCUACACCACAGCUCACAGCAAUGGCGGAUCAUUAACCCACAGAGUAAGGCCAGGGAUUGAAUCCACAACCUCGUGGUUCCUAGUUGGAUUUGUUAACCACCGAGCCGUGACGGGAACUCCUACUUUCUUUUACAAAGACAUCAAUAUUUAUGAUCUCACUGGUUUCACUAAUUCAACUAUCAUUUAGUGAACACCUACCUUGUGACAAGUUAUGCUAUAAGUACUGAAGAUAAAAAAUUAAAUAACACUCUGUCUUUUCCUCACACUAGAUGGUAGGUGCUCUCCUCAGAGCCUGCUGCAUCCCUCAGGGCCCCAGAGAUGCUGAUUUCUGAGUCCUCACUUCCUUAGGAGGGUAAUGUUCCCCUUGCCUUCCUUGCCUUUCAGGAUUAGAAGAUUGAGUUAUGGAGAUCUGAGUUCUGGUCUCUCUGGCAUCAGGCCAUUGUGAAAGGUCCUUUCCUUUCAGGCAGAAAACCGACAAAGUCAGGCACUUUGCUCUGAGGCUUUCAUUUGCGUUUCUAAGUUGAUUGCCUAAAACUGAGACCGCUUUCCCUGUGGGGAGAGGGAUGGACUGGGCUUCUUAAAGUGUGUGUGUGUGUGUGUGUGUGUGUGUGUGUGUGUGUGUGUGUGUGUGUGUGUGUGUGUGUGUGUGUGUAAGAGAGGGCAGAGUGUGGGUGGGGUAAUAGGACCCUGUGUCCUUCUUUGAUGUUGUCCCCUUAGGGAGCCCUUAUUAGAGCCUUCUCUAGCCUUCUUCUCUCUAGUCCCUUGUAACUAGCUUCACCUCUGUCACUUUCUCCUUUCACUCCACUGGCCUCCAAGGUGUUUAGCCAGCCAAGCUUGCUCCCUCCUUAUGGCCUUUAUGUUCUGUGUCCCUUCUGUGUGGGCCACUCUCCCCUGAGUCAUGAGGUUAACCUCUGACUUCCUUCAGGUCUUUACUCACCUUCUCUGUGAGGCCUUCCAUGGCCACUCUUUCAAAACUGUCAGCCUUUCAUCCCGAUGCUCUAUACAUUUCCCUGCUCUACUAUGUCUCCUGAGCACUCACUAUUGUUUACUUAAUUUCUGCUAGAAACAGAGCGGAAUGGACAAUAAAAGACAGAUAAUCUCCAGGGGAACAUGGAUUUUUGUCUGUUUGUUUCUUUCUUUUUUUUCUUUUUACAGCUGCACCUGUGGCACAUGGAAGAUCCAGGGCUAGGGCCUGAAUCAAAGCUGCAGCUGAGCCCUAUGCCACAGCCAUGGCAACAUCUAAAACCUGUGCUGCAGCUUAUGGCAGUGCUGGAUCUUUAACACAGUGAGUGAGGCUAGGGUUCAAACCUGCAUCCUUACAGAGACUGUGCUGGGUCCUUAACUCCCUGAGCCACAAUAGGAACUCCUGUCUGUUUUUUUCAUACUCUGUCUUAUAGAAUAGUUCUUUGUACAUGGUACAUUCUUUAGUAAGUAUUUGUUAAGUGAAUGAAUAAUGACAAAAUUCCCUAAGUCUCAGCUAGACAAAUAGGAAGUAUAAUCUCCUUCAUUUAAAUUGAUCAUAUGAUUUGGACAAUUGGAAUUUCAGUAGAAAUUCUUGACUUUAGAAUUGAAGACUCCCCUAAGCUUGUUGGCUAGUAUAGGGAAUCUUAGUAACAAAGGGCAUAAAGUCACAUAGUUUAUGAUAGUUUUAAUCAUAGUUUAUGAUUUUUUGAAGAUGAAGGAGAUGUGGCAUUUCUUGCAUCACAAUGUUUUGAGCAAAGUGUAGCCAGUUCACCUUGAGUGUGCACAAAAGCCAGCCUUGCCGCCUCCUGCUAGCUUUUGUUGGUGCAAGUAUGCCUGGCAGUUUGACUUGAGAAUGGCAUUAAGGACUUGCCAUGGUGCUGACAUGAGAAGUGAGAAAUGGCAAGUGCAUGGAACUAGCACAGGGAGCAAAGGGUCAGUGUUUCAAUACCAGCCAUGGCUUAGUUGAUAAGAUACUGCAAAUGAGUACUUCAUGUGUGUGUGUGAGUCUCUGUGUGUCACAUAAGAAGCAUAUAUUGUGUUAUGUGCACAAUGGCCAGUGAAUUUGAUGCCUCUUUUAUGGAUGCUAUUGGAUGUGUCAGCACUUCUUCCAUUCCCUUCUGUCUUGAGGUGUGUGGAAAUUUCUCCUGUGCCAUCCUUUACUUUGAUAAAGGAAUUGAAAAUAAGGUCUCCUCUCUUUGCUUUUGACUUCUCCAUUCAUAUAAUUGGUUUUCCUCCUUUGCUCAGUGCUCCCUAUGGUCACAUCAUAUUACAAAUUAUUAUAUAAUAAAAGUUGUUGCCUUGUAUUUUCUUUCCUACCUGUUUCCUACAGAACUUGGGAGAAAUAAAAGGAAUUGACCCAGGUUAAGAUGACAAAAAUAAUUAUCCCUCGUUUAAAAGAAGAAAAGUUUACAUUAAUAGACUAAUUCAAAUUUAUUUAAUUUUGCACAGAAUUAAAAAAAGCAUCUCACUGAAAAGUAACAUGAAAAAGAAUAUUAAAAUUCUUGAUAAGUUAAGGGGUUAGAAACUACCAUUUAUUGACUAUGUAUAGGGUACCAUCUAGAAAUUCAGUAACUGAGCUGAGAAAUUGAUGUUAUCCCAUUUUACAGGGAAAGAAACCAAGCUUCAGGGAUGUUAAUAAAUGCUAAGGACAUAUUAGUAGGAAGUGGGAGAGGCUGGAUUUGUAUUUAGAUGUGUCUGAUUCCAACUAAACUUUACUAUGCUGGUUUCCAACUGUCUUUAAAUUCAGAGUGUUCUUAAAAUUUCAGUACUGUACAUUCUAAAUUGAAAGCACUGUAUUUCAUUUCUAAGUAAGAUCAUCUUUUCCCUUUGCCAGAAAUAAUAUCUUUGAUUGCUCUAGCGCUUGGUUUGUAUGAAUUGCUUUCCUUGUUUUCUCAAUGCCAUGCAGGGAUUUAAAGUUCCUUGCUGUUAAAAACAGAGAUGAGUUACCUCAUUUUUGAAAUUCCUACACUGAGUUUCAAAAGCAAAAACAUGUCAUUAGGAGCUUAGGCUCAGAAUCUGAAUUUCAUCUUCUCUGCUUACUUACUGCAUAAUAGUGGCCACAUUCCUUAAUUAGGCUGUACCUCAAUAUCUCUAUCUGUAAAACAGAGGUAAUAUCAUCAAUAUAAAGAUUAAAAUAGUUAAUGUGUUAAUACAAUUAAAGUGCUUUUAAACAGAGCCUGACACACAAACAUCACCAAUAAAAUUUUUAUUUCUACCCAGGCAUGGCAAUCAUAAAGAGACAAUCAUUUUCAUUUUCUGGAACAUAGGAUAUUAGUUUCCUAAGGAUCCUUUCCUUCCAUGUCUUCCUGUUAACUAUCUGCUAGGGUUAUACCAGCUGCGCAUGGUGCUUUUUCACUCAAGAGGAAGACAUCUGAAAAUAGGCCUGUCUGUCUCUUUUAUUUUUAAAUUCAUACAUUUGUAAUGAAAAAAGCAAACUGAUCAUCAUUGGAGGAUCUUAGUGGACCAACUCAGUAUUUUGAAAAUUGGUCAGUACAGCAACAUACUAAAGGCCUAUCCUUCAUUUCCUGUGUGGACUGUCCUACUAGAUAAUCAAUAGUAGAAAAGGAAUUAUUUCUUUUCACAGAAGAGUGCAUGGAUCUAGGCAUUGGACAUCAAUACCCCUAAGAUCAAAGAGAGACAUAGAUAGAUAGACAGAUAGAUAGAUAUAUAGAUAGAUAGAUUAUGUGAUUCCAUUUAAUUGAACAUACCAUCAAUAAAGUAGUCUUAUUAAACACUAUAAUUUAUGGAGUUCCCAUUGUGGCUCAGCAAUAACGAACCUGAUUAGUAUCCGUGAGGACAUGGGUUCAGUCCCUAGCCUUGCUCAGUGGGUUAAGGAUCUGAUGCUGCUGUGAGCUGUGGUGUAGGUUGCAGACAUGGUUUAGUGUUGCUUAGGCUGUGGUGUAGGCAGGCAGCUUCAGCUCUGAAUUGACCACUAACGUGGGAACUUCCAU